This 440-nucleotide ribosomal RNA is filed under the name uncultured bacterium. Its description in RNAcentral is "partial 16S ribosomal RNA". It matches the Rfam family "Bacterial small subunit ribosomal RNA", at positions 338 to 795 of the family's 1533-position model. The record is from RNAcentral.
CCUAGGGGGGCUGCAGUGGGGAAUAUUGCACAAUGGGGGAAACCCUGAUGCAGCAACGCCGCGUGAAGGAAGACGGUUUUCGGAUUGUAAACUUCUGUUCUUAGUGAAGAAUAAUGACGGUAGCUAAGGAGCAAGCCACGGCUAACUACGUGCCAGCAGCCGCGGUAAUACGUAGGUGGCAAGCGUUGUCCGGAAUUACUGGGUGUAAAGGGAGCGCAGGCGGGAAGCCAAGUCAGCUGUGAAAACUACGGGCUUAACUUGUAGACUGCAGUUGAAACUGGUUUUCUUGAGUGAAGUAGAGGUUGGCGGAAUUCCGAGUGUAGCGGUGAAAUGCGUAGAUAUUAGGAGGAACACCAGUGGCGAAGGCGGUCUGCUGGACAGCAACUGACGCUGAGGCGCGAAAGCGUGGGGAGCAAACAGGAUUAGAUACCCCAGUAGUC